AUUAAAAAAGACAAGUUAUGAAAUCAAUGAUGAACAAUACAUAUUGGUGGUGGCGCCCGUUACAACGUAAUAAGUCGUAAGGGAGCAGUGCUCGUGUGUAUAUAAGCAUCAUAUAAUAAAGAAAAGUAAAGAGCCCUGUC
This 140-nucleotide non-coding RNA is filed under the name uncultured Bacteroides sp. Its description in RNAcentral is "Bacteroidete tryptophan peptide leader RNA". It matches the Rfam family "Bacteroidete tryptophan peptide leader RNA". The record is from RNAcentral. Lineage: Bacteria; Pseudomonadati; Bacteroidota; Bacteroidia; Bacteroidales; Bacteroidaceae.